AUGUCGCACUACAAGAGGAUUGAGCCUGCUUUGCUGACUUUUGAGAGUAGAUCUUAUGCUGUUAUUUUUAAGCAUGAAGCCCAUUACUCCAAGUUCUAUGGUUCUGCCUGGUUCGAACUUACCCAUGACUAUGCUCUUUGUGCUGGAGAUCGUGUGGUCUUCACUCUGGACCACUCUGUGUUUGAUCUGAAAGUAGAGACUUACCAUGCUGGGCAUAGGAUUCUUCCUUCUCCUUGUUGUGGUAUGUUUUUGAUAUAUAGUUUUUUACUGCAAUAUUGUCAUAGAUUUUUACUAGAUUGUGGUUUUGAAGGAAAUAUGCCCUAG
RNAcentral lists this ribosomal RNA (324 nucleotides) under Triticum aestivum (bread wheat). RNAcentral describes it as "partial small subunit ribosomal RNA". The record is from RNAcentral. Lineage: Eukaryota; Viridiplantae; Streptophyta; Magnoliopsida; Poales; Poaceae.